CAGUCGCCGCGGGAAUACGGAGGGUGCAAGCGUUAAUCGGAAUUACUGGGCGUAAAGCGCACGCAGGCGGUUUGUUAAGUCAGGGGUGAAAGACGGUAGCUUAACUAUCGCAGUGCCUUUGAUACUGAUGGGCUUGAAUGUACUUGAAGUGGGCGGAAUGUGACAAGUAGCGGUGAAAUGCAUAGAUAUGUCACAGAACACCGAUUGCGAAGGCAGCUCACUAAAGUAUGAUUGACGCUGAGGCACGAAAGCGUGGGGAUCAAACAGGAUUAGAUACCCGCGUAGUCCCUGUCUCUUAUAC
Molecule: ribosomal RNA, 301 nt
Filed under: uncultured bacterium
Lineage: Bacteria
Description: partial 16S ribosomal RNA
Rfam family: Bacterial small subunit ribosomal RNA
Source: RNAcentral